This 420-nucleotide ribosomal RNA is filed under the name uncultured bacterium. RNAcentral's name for it is "bacterial SSU rRNA". It matches the Rfam family "Bacterial small subunit ribosomal RNA", at positions 358 to 774 of the family's 1533-position model. The record is from RNAcentral.
GGAAUAUUGGACAAUGGGGGCAACCCUGAUCCAGCCAUGCCGCGUGAAGGACUGAGGCCCUACGGGUCGUAAACUUCUUUUGUUGCGGAGCAAUAAGGGUCACGCGUGGCCCGAUGAGAGUACGCAGCGAAUAAGCAUCGGCUAACUCCGUGCCAGCAGCCGCGGUAAUACGGAGGAUGCGAGCGUUAUCCGGAUUUAUUGGGUUUAAAGGGUGCGUAGGCGGCCUGUCAAGUCAGCGGUGAAAUCCCCGUGCUCAACAUGGGAACUGCCGUUGAUACUGCCGGGCUGGAGUACUGUUGCCGUGGGAGGAAUGUGUGGUGUAGCGGUGAAAUGCUUAGAUAUCACACAGAACACCGAUUGCGAAGGCAUCUCACGAAGCCGUGUACUGACGCUGAGGCACGAAAGCGUGGGGAUCAAACA